UCAAAGACCAUUGACAUUGGCGAAAUGUGUACGAUGGCUGGCCUAGGAUAGCCAAGUACUGGCAAACUUACCAGAACCUCUCCAUCGUUGUCUUGUCAUUGUUGUAUCCAUCGUUGUUCUUUCAAUCUUUCACAAAUAAUCAAUUAUCUAUUUUAUUUUUUGGAGAAGGGGAGGACAGUUCCAUUUUAAAAGGUUUUUGUGUUUGUUACCUGAUUGUUUCUUUAAACUGGCACUGUUAUGCCAAACAUACCGUUCUCCAAUUAAUUUAUCUUCUCCUCUCAGAAUCAUUUAUCCUUUUUUUGUUUAUUCCUGAUAUAUUUCUUUAACACCAAAGACAAAGUAAUGACUACUACUUUUUUUUUCCCAAGGCUUGACUUUCUAUGGCUAAAGGAGGAGCGUAAGUAUGCUCCAUUUCCUGUGUAAAGUAGGAUAGUGAGUAUUUUGCAAAAACUUUAUUUGACACAAGAAUUGGAGCGGACUUAAUCUUCUCCUUUGAUCAAAGAAAAUCAAGCAUGGGAAAAAUAUAUAAGACAAAGUAGUCCCUUCUUUGUUUUAUGUGGUCAAGAAAACUACAAGAGAAAUAAUUAAAAAUAAUAAAGGAUUUUGAGAAAGGAAGAGAAAAUUAAACAGGAGACGGGUACGUACGGCAUGACAGUGCCGCUUUAAUUACUUGAAACGGCUCACAUGCUCUUCUACUGCCUUUUUUUUAUCAGGCUUUGGAAUUUUAGCAAUGUUUUUGGGUACUGUUGUGGAUUUUGAAUUCCAAUCCACAUGCAAACUCUCACUGCAAAUUUUUAAUACACUCAUAAGAAUUUGUUCUAUAUGAGUGAUUGUCAUUGGCUCGUACAUAGUACGAACAACCCAUCUUUUUCUGGAACGUGGGAAUUCUAAUCUAUUCCGCAUAGUUCCAACAGGAUCAGUGCCUUUGAACGAAACUUUGACAAUUGCUUGCUCACGAUUAACAUUACUGUUGUGAGCAAGAAUGGCCAAAAUUGUUCUAGCCUCCAUGGAAUCCAGUCCAAAAUGAAUUCUUUUGGGCCUGUACUUCAAAACAAGGCUAUGGAAUGUCUCCAGACAUCCUGUGUGACAGAAGUGGACUAAGUGGUCAAAAUCCUUCACAAGCUGACCAUCAUUAAUAAAUUUAACUAGGUUUUCAUAUGCUUGUGAUUUGGGUUUCAACCAUAAACCUUUGUCAAUCACUUCUUGUGAUAGUGGUUCGUGCG
This is a non-coding RNA of Pelobates cultripes (western spadefoot toad), 1223 nucleotides long. NCBI's taxonomy places the organism in Eukaryota, Metazoa, Chordata, Amphibia, Anura, Pelobatidae. The record is from the annotation of a GenBank genome assembly.